ACCCUUGUCCCUAGUUGCCAGCACUUCGGGUGGGAACUCUAGGGAGACUGCCGGUGACAAACCGGAGGAAGGUGGGGAUGACGUCAAGUCAUCAUGGCCCUUAUGGGCUGGGCUACACACGUGCUACAAUGGCCGGUACAGAGGGUUGCCAACCCGCGAGGGGGAGCCAAUCUCAGAAAACCGGUCGUAGUCCGCAGUCUGCAACUCGACUGCGUGAAGUCGGAAUCGCUAGUAAUCGCUAGAUCAGCANU
This 251-nucleotide ribosomal RNA is filed under the name uncultured bacterium. RNAcentral describes it as "partial 16S ribosomal RNA". It matches the Rfam family "Bacterial small subunit ribosomal RNA", at positions 1101 to 1356 of the family's 1533-position model. The record is from RNAcentral.